This 406-nucleotide ribosomal RNA is filed under the name uncultured deep-sea bacterium. RNAcentral's name for it is "bacterial SSU rRNA". It matches the Rfam family "Bacterial small subunit ribosomal RNA", at positions 8 to 430 of the family's 1533-position model. The record is from RNAcentral.
AGAGUUUGAUCCUGGCUCAGAACGAACGCUGGCGGCAUGCCUAACACAUGCAAGUCGAACGGGAGCCCGGCUUCGGCCGGUCACUCUAGUGGCGAACGGGUGAGUAACGCGUGGGAACCUGCCCUUCAGUUCGGAAUAACCACGGGAAACUGUGGCUAAUACCGUAUACGCCCUCCGGGGGAAAGAUUUAUCGCUGAAGGAUGGGCCCGCGUCGGAUUAGCUAGUUGGUAGGGUAACGGCCUACCAAGGUGACGAUCCGUAGCUGGUCUGAGAGGAUGAUCAGCCACACUGGGACUGAGACACGGCCCAGACUCCUACGGGAGGCAGCAGUGGGGAAUAUUGGACAAUGGGGGCAACCCUGAUCCAGCAAUGCCGCGUGUGUGAAGAAGGCCUUAGGGUUGUAAAG